UACGGGGGGAGCAAGCGUUGUUCGGAUUUACUGGGCGUAAAGGGCGCGUAGGCGGUCAGCACAAGUCAGUUGUGAAAUCUCCGAGCUUAACUCGGAAAGGUCAACUGAUACUGUGCGACUAGAGUGCAGAAGGGGCAACUGGAAUUCUCGGUGUAGCGGUGAAAUGCGUAGAUAUCGAGAGGAACACCGGUGGCGAAGGCGAGUCUCUGGACCACUCCUGACACUGAGGCACGAAAGCCGGGGGAGCAAACAGG
Molecule: ribosomal RNA, 254 nt
Filed under: uncultured bacterium
Lineage: Bacteria
Description: partial 16S ribosomal RNA
Rfam family: Bacterial small subunit ribosomal RNA
Source: RNAcentral